UACAAUUAUCAAACCACUUGACGGUGGCUUUGAAUGUGGGGGACUAUUUUUUGCAGGCUUUUAUCCUCAAGUCUGCUCCCCUGAAAUAAAUUAGUGGUGUCUGGAGUGGAAACCGCCAGGUGUGAUAAUCUAUCGUCUACACAUUUGGGUAUGCCACAUGAAAACAGAUUGUGCUGCUUCCAACGCAACCUGACCCUUUAUGACAA
Molecule: unclassified non-coding RNA, 206 nt
Filed under: uncultured Inocybe
Lineage: Eukaryota; Fungi; Basidiomycota; Agaricomycetes; Agaricales; Cortinariaceae
Description: sequence contains ITS2
Source: RNAcentral